Transfer RNA from Felis catus (domestic cat), 85 nucleotides. It matches the Rfam family "tRNA". Rfam says of the family: Transfer RNA (tRNA) molecules are approximately 80 nucleotides in length. Their secondary structure includes four short double-helical elements and three loops (D, anti-codon, and T loops). The record is from Rfam. NCBI's taxonomy places the organism in Eukaryota, Metazoa, Chordata, Mammalia, Carnivora, Felidae.
ACCUGGGUGGCUCAGUCAGUUGAGCGUCUGACUUCAGCUCAGGUCAUGAUCUCACCGUUUGUGAGUUCGAGCCCCACAUCAGGCU